Molecule: non-coding RNA, 237 nt
Organism: Vicia faba (fava bean)
Lineage: Eukaryota; Viridiplantae; Streptophyta; Magnoliopsida; Fabales; Fabaceae
Source: the annotation of a GenBank genome assembly
AUGAAGAGAUUUUGCCCCAAAGCUUCGUUUGUAUUGUUUUUGUGUGCAUUUGCUUCUCAAGAACAAUGCAAUCAAGAGAAUGAUUCUGAUUGUUGUGUACAAGGGGAAAAAAAAAACAUUACCAUCAAUGCUAAUGGAAAAAAUGUGGUGGCCAUGGUUGUUGACGAGUGUGACUCCACAAAGGGAUUCGAUAAAGAUCAUGAUUACCAACCUCCAUGUCCAAAGAACAUUGUUUGA